This 1850-nucleotide long non-coding RNA is filed under the name Ornithorhynchus anatinus (platypus). Its description in RNAcentral is "lncRNA (ENSOANG00000049454.1)". Lineage: Eukaryota; Metazoa; Chordata; Mammalia; Monotremata; Ornithorhynchidae. The record is from RNAcentral.
UGGUGCUGCAGCUGCAGCCGCUGGUACGGCACCUGCCGCCGCCGCCGCACAGGGAGGUCGGGGGCACUUUGGAGACAGGUGGAGGGAUGGGCUUCCCUGCGGGCCCCCUCCCCGGAGGGAUGGGGCAGCAGCCCCGGCCCCAGCCCCGUGCCCUCCCCGGUGCCCUCCCCGGUGCCCUCCCCGGUGCCCUCCCCGGAGGCCCCCGGCACUGGCCUGGCUGGGGUCGGUGGCCCUGAAGACGUGGCAGGCCAUCGGAGAGUCGGGGUUGUCCGGCUGGGCUUUGAUGAGGUAUCAAAUCUCAACUUUCAUCAUGUCUGGUUUGGAAAUUUGGUUCUGCCAUAGUAGCCGGGGCCUCCACAGAACUUUCAACUUCAUCUUGGUGUGAGUAUUGAACCCUAUAUCUGCCUUUGUUUGUCCUAAAUUCCAGAUGGCUGAAGUUGGCCCAACUCUGGGAUUAUAUAAACAGCCCCAAAGUUGAUGCUCCAAGGAAAAAGCCUCAUUAGGCUUUAAUAACCCCAUCUCUGAUUAAAAUUGGUAUUAAACAUCUGUACUCCCUCCUAUGGAGACUGUGAGUCCCAUGUGGGAUAGGACAGUGCCUGACCUGAUUAUCUACCUGAUUAGCAGCGUGGCUCAGUGGAAAGAUCCUGGGCUUUGGAGUCAGAGGUCAUGAGUUCGAAUUCCAGCUCUGCCACUUGUCAGCUGUGUGACUAUGGGCAAGUCACUUAACUUCUCUGGGCCUCAGUUACCUCAUCUGUAAAAUGGGGAUGAAGACUGUGAGCUCCACGUGGGACAACCUGAUUCCCCUGUGUCUACCCCAGCGCUUAGAACAGUGCUCUGCACAUAGUAAGCGCUUAACAAAUACCAACUUAUUAUCUUAGUACAGUUCUUGGGACAUUGUAAGCGCUUAACAAAUAUUAUUACUGUUAUUAUUACCACUAUCUUCAUUAUCCUAUGUCAACUUAACCUGGUGGCUGCUGUUUCUACAAAAUCACACUUCAGUUUACUUUUAGUAGUGGAAGGUGAAAUUUAGCAUAGUAUGUUUCUAGGAAUAUUGGUGGGAUUAUCAGUUCAUCAAAAGGAGGAAAGCAUGCACCUUUACAGUAAUUUUAACCCAGUGGCUUUUGAUUGUGUUUUUUUUAAAGGCAAGUUGGUUAAAGAAUAGUAGAUAAGAAAAAAUAUACAAAAGUCCUUGUUCAAUCACUUUAAACAAUCUCUUACAAAGGAUGGAAAUGGCCAAAUGGGCAAAUAGCAUUUAUCAAUCAUUUAAUUGGUUUCUGAAGACACAUAUCAACUCAACUGAGAUGUUCAUAAGAAAAAUUCCUUUGGUUUCCUUCAACUCUGGGAGACUGUUAGGAUCGCCAUCUGUAGAAUGUCCCUAAUAUAUUACUGUCCUCCCCACCCCCCACCCCCAAAACAAUUGGCAUGAAAGGUAACCUCAUUGACCUUUGAAAUCAGAUCUCAAGCAUACUGUGCAGCAGGGUCGGACACGCGCAAUGAUUACAAAAGAGAUGGCCUUUAGUAACUAUCCAACACGGGUAAUAAAAUCCUCAUUCAAUAGCCACCGAAGGGAGAAUUGACCAAUAAGUUUUCUAAAAUGAAGGUUUCCUUGAAAAAUAUGUUGCCUAUGAUUAAUGAACUCAGGAUAGCCCACGAUACGUCAUUUUGGGGAAGUUCGCCGAUUGCGAGCGAUCCGUGAGCCUUUCCCUGGUGGGACUCCUGGACACCCCCCAACCUGCUCCAGGGCCUUUUUGUUCUCCUCCCAGUCCAUAUGAACACUGGCAACCCAAACCUACAGAUUCACUGUGCUUGAGUCACAGAACUAGCAGUGGAGCUGUGAUGCUGGGAGGCUC